GAUUCGCCCGCCGCGCCCCGCGCCCGUCCCGCCGCCCCCGCCCGCUCCUACGGGAGGCAGCAGUAGGGAAUCUUCCACAAUGGGCGCAAGCCUGAUGGAGCAACACCGCGUGAGUGAAGAAGGGUUUCGGCUCGUAAAGCUCUGUUGUUGGAGAAGAACGUGCGUGAGAGUAACUGUUCACGCAGUGACGGUAUCCAACCAGAAAGUCACGGCUAACUACGUGCCAGCAGCCGCGGUAAUACA
This 243-nucleotide ribosomal RNA is filed under the name uncultured organism. Its description in RNAcentral is "partial 16S ribosomal RNA". It matches the Rfam family "Bacterial small subunit ribosomal RNA", at positions 301 to 527 of the family's 1533-position model. The record is from RNAcentral.